UUAUUAGAUCAAUUUUUUAAAAAUUAUUAUUAAUAUUAUUUUUACUAUUAUUUUGUUAAAUAACUGCUUUCUAUGUAUAUGAAAGAGGUAAUAGCCUGACUGAUUUUUAUUAACUAUGGAAGAACUUGGAGGUUUCUUAGGGAGAAAAGUGAGAUGUCACAGUUGAGCUUCUGUUAUAAAUAGCUGCUGAAGUGCAAUCUGUGGAGUACAAGGAGAAAUUUAGCAACCUGGCUGGGGCAGCAAGUGGUCAUUAUAUAUGCGCUUGGUAGAACAAUAUAAUUGAGAUUGAUUUUUUUAAGUAGUCUGACAUGAAGGCUUAAUAAGAGAUUGCUAUGACUCCUUGAUUAAAUAUCUUAGCACCUUGUAAGAAAGAGCACUUAAAUGACAAUUCAGAAUAUGGAAGGGUUGUCUGUGCAAGUGGACCAAUUCUUCUGACUCUGUUCUUUAAUGUUAAAUUUAGCAAGGAUGCCUCCAUGAUAGUUUUUAAUGGGUAUUUGAGAAACAGUGUGCAACACAGGUAAGAGUAGAAUAAGUCAGUUUUAAUUCCUGACAUUUUUUAAACUAAAAAAGCAGUUUAAAUCCUGCAUUUUUGUUUCCUAUAUAUAUAUAUAUAUUUUUUUCUUUCUAAGUUGCCUGUGUUUUUUGUAUAACAGAGGUAAAUCUAUUUUCCCCCUUAUGUAAUAACAUAAGGGAAAUUAAUUUAAAAAUCACUUGGUGAGAAGCGUGGGAGGAAAACAUAUCAUCCUUACUCUGUUUAAAAUUAUUUUUAAUAGCACACUAGGUAUAUUGGCAGACAUAGAUGGAAAGUAAUUAUACAUAGAACAUUUUAAAGUAAAAAGUAAUGAAAAUAAUGUGAAAUACUCCCUCCACAAGAGUCCUAUGUGAUAGAAAUGCAAAUUUGUUGCAGUAACAGACAAUAAUUGAGUAUUAUGCAGUGACUGGGUAAAUCAAUGCAACUGUGAUUAACUCACUAAUGCCAAUUAGAAGUAGUAAAUUUUAAGUGUUAUAAUUCAUCAGCAUUAAGCAUUGAUUUGAAAUUGAUUGCAAAACAAGCAGUUUGACAAAUUGUCAUCUUUGUAUUCCUUGUGGUGCAGUACUUCCACAGGUGUUCUGCUUUUAUUUAUUUAUUUAUUUUUUUGGUGCCUGAUCACAUGCUCCCCCCCCCCCCCC
Molecule: long non-coding RNA, 1170 nt
Filed under: Anas platyrhynchos platyrhynchos (common mallard)
Lineage: Eukaryota; Metazoa; Chordata; Aves; Anseriformes; Anatidae
Description: lncRNA (ENSAPLG00000030569.1)
Source: RNAcentral